Lactuca sativa (garden lettuce) is the source of this 1240-nucleotide non-coding RNA. The record is from RefSeq and is a predicted model, not a curated record. NCBI's taxonomy places the organism in Eukaryota, Viridiplantae, Streptophyta, Magnoliopsida, Asterales, Asteraceae.
ACAUUUAAAAAUCCAUUACAAAAGAAAAUUUAGAAUAUGAUGGUUCAAGAUUUCAAGUCAAAAUAUUAAAAAAUCCCAAAAAUUAUGUGUAAAGAUAGCCAACUGACGUUCUAACGACCUCUUUACACCUAAAAUUUAAAGGUACAUUACACACUCUAAAAAUUACCAAAUACCCCCUCCUACAUCAACUAUAAAGUCUCCACUUCCUCUAAUUAAGUAAACUUCCAUUCACAAUUAACCUUUCAGCAGCACCGCCAUUGAAGGAAAUUUAUCUAACGUUUCUGACUGUACAUCAACUUCUUAAAUUUCCGAUCAGGAAGACUGCACACAAAAUAACAGUGACAGUGUAAGGAGCCGGAGUUGGAGGAAGCCCAUGAAGAAAGUGCUUGAAGGAAGCGAAAAAAACAUAUACGGAUCUUCAAAGCCUUUGAUAUUCCAGUAUGAUGCUGUUAGUUACUCUCUGAAUUUUGAUGAAGGAAAUCGAGAUGAUGAAUAUUAUUCAUAUGGAUCUCGAUGAUAUCAAGGUUUAGGAUAACAUUGCUUGUAAGAUCGAUUAACUGAUGUAGCAUCAUCAUGUACAGAGAGAUAGUAUGUGUUAAUAAUUCUAGUGAGUUCAAUUUUAUGAAGUUUGCAAAGCCCGAAAUCUUUUGGUGUUUAACAAGAGAAGAUGUGCCCCUUCGAAGACGACGGAUGACACUCAACUUGCUGCAUGUGAUUAAUUGGCUUAAACAAAAAUUAAAGUUUAAAUUGUUAUCUUGGGUUGAAUGGUGUACAAAGUAGCCGGAAUUGGAGGAAGCUCAUGAAGAAGGUGAUCGAAGGAAGCAAAAAAAGCAUAUAUGGAUCUUCGAAGCCUUUUAUAUUCCAGUAUGAUGCUGUUAGUUACUCUCUGAAUUUUGAUGAAGGAAAUCAAGAUGAUGAAUAUUAUUCAUAUGGAUCUCGAUGAUCUCAAGUGUUAGGAUAAUAUUGCUUGUAAGAUAGAUUUAACUAAAUUAGCAUCAUCAUGUACAGAGCUCGUAUACGUUUGUAAUUCACGUAAGAUCAAUUUUAUUAAGGCGAAUGAAUUUAUAUUUUCAUUGGCGGAUCUGCAUGCAGACGAUGAAUUUAAGAGAGAUUUAUCAUAUGGACAGUGGAUUUGAAUUUAUUGAUUUGUUGAUUUACUCUGCAAAUUUGUAUAUAGUCUGCUGCUAUUUCAUCAGAAGUACACAACAUCUCAAUCAUUGAAUUUACAAAAGUCUUUCAA